Molecule: ribosomal RNA, 329 nt
Filed under: uncultured eukaryote
Lineage: Eukaryota
Description: partial 18S ribosomal RNA
Rfam family: Eukaryotic small subunit ribosomal RNA
Source: RNAcentral
CCCUUAGAUGUCCUGGGCUGCACACGCGCUACACUGACGAACUCAACGAGCUUAUCACCUUGGCAGAGAUGUCUGGGUAAUCUUUUGAAAGUUCGUCGUGCUGGGGAUAGAUGAUUGUAAUUAUUCGUCUUGAACGAGGAAUUCCUAGUAAGUGUGAGUCAUCAGCUCGCGCUGAUUACGUCCCUGCCCUUUGUACACACCGCCCGUCGCUCCUACCGAUUGAAUGGUCCGGUGAGGUUCUCGGAUUUUUUCUGUUGUUUGGUUCGCUAAACGAUUGAAGAGAGAAGUUACCCAAACCUUACCAUUUAGAGGAAGGAGAAGUCGUAACA